This 327-nucleotide ribosomal RNA is filed under the name uncultured eukaryote. Its description in RNAcentral is "partial 18S ribosomal RNA". It matches the Rfam family "Eukaryotic small subunit ribosomal RNA", at positions 1470 to 1796 of the family's 1831-position model. The record is from RNAcentral.
CCCUUAGAUGUUCUGGGCUGCACGCGCGCUACACUGAUGCGCUCAACGAGUUUUAACCUUGCCUGGAAAGGUUGGGUAAUCUUUUUAAAACGCAUCGUGAUGGGGAUAGAUUAUUGCAAUUAUUAAUCUUCAACGAGGAAUUCCUAGUAAGCGCGAGUCAUCAGCUCGUGCUGAUUACGUCCCUGCCCUUUGUACACACCGCCCGUCGCUCCUACCGAUUGAGUGGUCCGGUGAGGCUUUGGGAUCUGAGCAAAAAGAGCGUUUCGCUCGUUUGGCUCGGAAAACUCAGUCGAACCUUAUCAUUUAGAGGAAGGAGAAGUCGUAACA